Molecule: ribosomal RNA, 406 nt
Filed under: uncultured bacterium
Lineage: Bacteria
Description: partial 16S ribosomal RNA
Rfam family: Bacterial small subunit ribosomal RNA
Source: RNAcentral
GAUGAACGCUGACAGCAUGCUUAACACAUGCAGUCAGGGAUCGUGGCGGACGGGGGAGUAAGGGGUAAAGAACUUGACCCAAAGCUAGGGAAAACAGUUGGAAACGAAUGGAAAUACCGAAUACUGUGAGAGAGCUUUGCGUGCGAUUAGCUAGUUGGAGAGGUAACGGAGCACCAAGGCGAUGAAGGGUAGCCGGCCUGAGAGGGUGAUCGGCCACAAGCGUACCGAGACACGGCCCUUACUCCUACGGGAGGCAGCAGUGGGGAAUAUUGGACAAUGGACCAAAGUCUGGUCCAGCAAUUCUGUGUGCACGAUGAAGUUUUCGGAAUGUAAAGUGCUUUCAGUUGGGAAGCGGUACCAACAGAAGAAGGGCCGGCUAAAUACGUGCCAGCAGCCGCGGUAAUAC